ACUCCUACGGGAGGCAGCAGUGGGGAAUCUUAGACAAUGGGGGCAACCCUGAUCUAGCCAUGCCGCGUGAGUGAUGAAGGCCUUAGGGUUGUAAAGCUCUUUCAGCUGGGAAGAUAAUGACGGUACCAGCAGAAGAAGCCCCGGCUAACUCCGUGCCAGCAGCCGCGGUAAUACGGAGGGGCUAGCGUUGUUCGGGAAUUACUGGGGCGUUAAAGCGCACGUAGGCGGACUGGAAAGUUGGGGGUGAAAUCCCGGGGGCUCAACCUCGGAACUGCCUCCAAAACUAUCAGUCUGGAGUUCGAGAGAGGUGAGUGGAAUACCGAGUGUAGAGGUGAAAUUCGUAGAUAUUCGGUGGAACACCAGUGGCGAAGGCGGCUCACUGGCUCGAUACUGACGCUGAGGUGCG
RNAcentral lists this ribosomal RNA (406 nucleotides) under uncultured bacterium. RNAcentral's name for it is "bacterial SSU rRNA". It matches the Rfam family "Bacterial small subunit ribosomal RNA", at positions 335 to 755 of the family's 1533-position model. The record is from RNAcentral.